Molecule: ribosomal RNA, 548 nt
Filed under: uncultured low G+C Gram-positive bacterium
Lineage: Bacteria; Bacillati; Bacillota
Description: bacterial SSU rRNA
Rfam family: Bacterial small subunit ribosomal RNA
Source: RNAcentral
GUGCCUCAGGCGACGAUGGUUAGCUGGUCUGAGAGGAUGAUCAGCCACACUGGAACUGACACACGGUCCAGACUCCUACGGGAGGCAGCAGUGAGGAAUUUUGCGCAAUGGGGGAAACCCUGACGCAGCAACGCCGCGUGAACGAAGAAGGCUUUCGGGUCGUAAAGUUCUUUUCUUAGGGAAGAAAAAUGACGGUACCUAAGGAAUAAGCACCGGCUAACUACGUGCCAGCAGCCGCGGUAAUACGUAGGGUGCAAGCGUUAUCCGGAAUCACUGGGCGUAAAGGGUGCGUAGGCGGCCUUGCAAGUCAGAAGUGAAAGGCUACGGCUCAACCGUAGUAAGCUUUUGAAACUGUAAGGCUAGAGUGAAGGAGAGGAAAGUGGAAUUCCUAGUGUAGAGGUGAAAUUCGUAGAUAUUAGGAGGAACACCAGUGGCGAAGGCGACUUUCUGGACUUUAACUGACGCUGAUGCGCGAAGGCGUGGGGAGCAAACAGGAUUAGAUACCCUGGUAGUCCACGCCGUAAACGAUGGAUACUAGUUGGCCGGAG